RNAcentral lists this ribosomal RNA (465 nucleotides) under uncultured bacterium. Its description in RNAcentral is "bacterial SSU rRNA". It matches the Rfam family "Bacterial small subunit ribosomal RNA", at positions 331 to 792 of the family's 1533-position model. The record is from RNAcentral.
CCAGACUCCUACGGGAGGCAGCAGUGAGGAAUAUUGGUCAAUGGGCGGAAGCCUGAACCAGCCAAGUCGCGUGAGGGAAUAAGGCCCUACGGGUCGUAAACCUCUUUUGCCGGGGAGCAAGGGCCGGGACGAGUCCCGGUCCGGAGAGUACCCGGAGAAAAAGCAUCGGCUAACUCCGUGCCAGCAGCCGCGGUAAUACGUAGGGGGCAAGCGUUAUCCGGAUUCACUGGGUGUAAAGGGAGCGUAGACGGCGACGCAAGUCUGGAGUGAAAGCCCGGGGCCCAACCCCGGGACUGCUCUGGAAACUGCGUCGCUGGAGUACGGGAGGGGCAGGCGGAAUUCCUGGUGUAGCGGUGAAAUGCGUAGAUAUCAGGAGGAACACCGGCGGCGAAGGCGGCCUGCUGGACCGUGACUGACGUUGAGGCUCGAGAGCGUGGGGAGCAAACAGGAUUAGAUACCCCUGUA